Long non-coding RNA from Myotis davidii, 604 nucleotides. RefSeq lists it as uncharacterized. Lineage: Eukaryota; Metazoa; Chordata; Mammalia; Chiroptera; Vespertilionidae. The transcript has 3 exons. The record is from RefSeq and is a predicted model, not a curated record.
AGUUGGAAAAUUCUGAGAGCGUUUGUAGGGCCUGAAUGUGCAUGACCUCCUAGAAUAUGAAAAGGGUUGCAGUAAUGGGGGUCAACAUUUCUCCCAUAUCUUUUCCCCCAAAACAGUCCCUCUAUCCUUACCUUAGAGCAAGAAGCCAAAGGAGGAAAAGUUCUCGAUGGUAAUCCUUGCCCGGGGGUCUCCAGAGGAAGCUAAUCGCUGGCCCCGGGUCACUCAGCCUGUCCUUAAACGGCCACGCCAUGUGCACUGUCACCUGUGCUGUCCAGAUGGGCACAUGCAGCAUGCUGUGCUCACAGCCCGCCGCCAUUGCAGGGAUUUGUAUCGCUGUGCCCGUGUCAGCUCCUGGGGAGAUCUUUUACCCGUGACCACGCCUUCUGAGCUUCCUCCGUCCCCUGUUGAAGAUGCCCCUGAGAGUUAACAAGGAUGUGUAACAAGAGUUUUCUUGCAUCGUGCCUGCCAAGGCUAAAGCCACCUGAAACCUCGAGCUCAGCCCCUCCUGUAAGAAUACUGCUGCUUCUCCCAGAGACCGGGACUUCCCAGGGAAGUAAUGGGGUAGUGGGGAACGCCGCCCCCAGCACUCUGAGAACUGGCUCAA